RNAcentral lists this ribosomal RNA (84 nucleotides) under uncultured bacterium. RNAcentral's name for it is "partial 16S ribosomal RNA". The record is from RNAcentral.
UUGCUAGCCGUUGGGCAGCUUGCUGUUCAGUGGCGCAGCUAACGCAUUAAGCAGCCGGCCACGGUAGGAUCAGCGACUGGGCCG